AUUGAACGCUGGCGGCAGGCCUAACACAUGCAAGUCGAACGAGUGGCGGACGGGUGAGUAAUGUCUGGGAAACUGCCUGAUGGAGGGGGAUAACUACUGGAAACGGUAGCUAAUACCGCAUACCAUCAGAUGUGCCCAGAUGGGAUUAGAUUGUUGGUAGGGUAACGGCUAACCAAGGCGACGAUCCCUAGCUGGUCUGAGAGGAUGACCGGCCAAACUGGAACUGAGACACGGUCCAGACUCCUACGGCAGGCAGAAGUGGGGAAUAUUGCACAAUGGGCGCAAGCCUGAUGCGGCAAUGCCGCGUGGAUGAAGAAGGCCUUCGGGUUGUAAAGUACUUUCAGCGGGGAGGCGUUACCCGAAGAAGAAGCAACGGCUAACUCCGUGCCAGCAGCCGCGGUAAUAC
RNAcentral lists this ribosomal RNA (406 nucleotides) under uncultured bacterium. Its description in RNAcentral is "partial 16S ribosomal RNA". It matches the Rfam family "Bacterial small subunit ribosomal RNA", at positions 30 to 526 of the family's 1533-position model. The record is from RNAcentral.